RNAcentral lists this ribosomal RNA (192 nucleotides) under uncultured bacterium. RNAcentral describes it as "partial 16S ribosomal RNA". It matches the Rfam family "Bacterial small subunit ribosomal RNA", at positions 328 to 540 of the family's 1533-position model. The record is from RNAcentral.
ACGCUCGACACCUACGGGGGCAGCAGUGGGGAAUAUUGCACAAUGGGGGAAACCCUGAUGCAGCGACGCCGCGUGGAGGAAGGAGGUCUUCGGAUUGUAAACUCCUGUUGUUGGGGAAAAAGAGGAUGGUACCCAACAAGGAAGUGACGGCUAACUACGUGCCNNNCGCGUAGUAUNGNGGCGGNGNGAGAG